Molecule: ribosomal RNA, 253 nt
Filed under: uncultured bacterium
Lineage: Bacteria
Description: partial 16S ribosomal RNA
Rfam family: Bacterial small subunit ribosomal RNA
Source: RNAcentral
UACGUAGGGGGCAAGCGUUGUCCGGAAUCAUUGGGCGUAAAGAGCGCGUAGGCGGUCCGGUAAGUCCGCUCUGAAAGCCCGGGGCUCAACCCCGGGAGGCGGGCGGAUACUGUCGGGCUAGAGUCCGGAAGAGGCGAGUGGAAUUCCUGGUGUAGCGGUGAAAUGCGCAGAUAUCACUUGGAACGCCAAUGGUGAAAACAGCUCGCUGGGGAUGUGCUGACGCUGAGACACGAAAGCCAGGGGAGCAAACGGG